This 253-nucleotide ribosomal RNA is filed under the name uncultured bacterium. RNAcentral's name for it is "partial 16S ribosomal RNA". It matches the Rfam family "Bacterial small subunit ribosomal RNA", at positions 524 to 776 of the family's 1533-position model. The record is from RNAcentral.
UACGGAGGGGGCAAGCGUUGUUCGGAAUUACUGGGCGUAAAGGGCGCGCAGGCGGCUGCUCAAGUCAGACGUGAAAUCCCUCGGCUUAACCGGGGAACUGCGUCUGAUACUGGAUGGCUUGAGUUUGGGAGAGGGACGCGGAAUUCCAGGUGUAGCGGUGAAAUGCGUAGAUAUCUGGAGGAACACCGGUGGCGAAGGCGGCGUCCUGGACCAACACUGACACUGAUGAGCGAAAGCCAGGGGAGCAAACGGG